UUGGUGGCGACCGGCGCACGGGUGAGUAACGCGUAUGCAACCUACCUAUCAGAGGGGAAUAACCCGGCGAAAGUCGGACUAAUACCGCAUAAAACAGGGGCACCGCAUGGUGAUAUUUGUUAAAGAAAUUCGCUGAUAGAUGGGCAUGCGUUCCAUUAGGUAGUUGGUGAGGUAACGGCUCACCAAGCCGACGAUGGAUAGGGGAACUGAGAGGUUGGUCCCCCACACUGGUACUGAGACACGGACCAGACUCCUACGGGAGGCAGCAGUGAGGAAUAUUGGUCAAUGGGGCGGGAGCCUGAACCAGCCAAGUCCGCGUGAAGGAAGAAGGAUCUAUGGUUCGUAAACUUCUUUUGCAGGGGAAUAAAGUGCAGGACGUGUCCUGUUUUGUAUGUACCCUGAGAAUAAGGAUCGGCUAACUCCGUGCCAGCCGCCGC
This 437-nucleotide ribosomal RNA is filed under the name uncultured bacterium. RNAcentral describes it as "bacterial SSU rRNA". It matches the Rfam family "Bacterial small subunit ribosomal RNA", at positions 85 to 518 of the family's 1533-position model. The record is from RNAcentral.